RNAcentral lists this ribosomal RNA (253 nucleotides) under uncultured Halomonadaceae bacterium. Its description in RNAcentral is "partial 16S ribosomal RNA". It matches the Rfam family "Bacterial small subunit ribosomal RNA", at positions 524 to 776 of the family's 1533-position model. The record is from RNAcentral. Lineage: Bacteria; Pseudomonadati; Pseudomonadota; Gammaproteobacteria; Oceanospirillales; Halomonadaceae.
UACGAAGGGUGCAAGCGUUAAUCGGAAUUACUGGGCGUAAAGCGCGCGUAGGUGGUUCAGUAAGUUGGAAGUGAAAGCCCCGGGCUCAACCUGGGAACUGCAGGACGAACUGCUUGACUAGAGUAUAGUAGAGGAGUGUGGAAUUCCCGGUGUAGCGGUGAAAUGCGUAGAUAUCGGGAGGAACAUCAGUGGCGAAGGCGGCACUCUGGACUGAUACUGACACUGAGGUGCGAAAGCGUGGGUAGCGAACAGG